UGUGCAGGCGGCUGGUUAAGUCAAGGAUGAAAUCCCGAGGCUCAACUUCGGAACUGUCCUUGAUACUGAUCAGCUUGAGGCUAGUUGAGGAGAGCGGAAUUCCCGGUGGAGCGGUGAAAUGCGUAGAUAUCGGGAGGAACACCAGAGGCGUAGGCGGCUCUCUAAGCUAGUCCUGACGCUGAGACACGAAAGCUAGGGUAGACGAAACG
Molecule: ribosomal RNA, 209 nt
Filed under: uncultured bacterium
Lineage: Bacteria
Description: partial 16S ribosomal RNA
Rfam family: Bacterial small subunit ribosomal RNA
Source: RNAcentral